RNAcentral lists this small RNA (78 nucleotides) under Escherichia coli. Its description in RNAcentral is "isrK Hfq binding RNA". It matches the Rfam family "isrK Hfq binding RNA". Lineage: Bacteria; Pseudomonadati; Pseudomonadota; Gammaproteobacteria; Enterobacterales; Enterobacteriaceae. The record is from RNAcentral. RNAcentral also lists the same sequence under 2 other names.
GCUGUCGCAAAAUCGGCAGCCGGGCGUGGAAACCCGAGCAAUCUAACGGCGACAUAUGACGCGCCAUGCGUCUUUUUU